GAUGAACGCUGGCGGCGUGCCUAAUACAUGCAAGUCGAGCGAACAGACGAGGAGCUUGCUCCUCUGACGUUAGCGGCGGACGGGUGAGUAACACGUGGAUAACCUACCUAUAAGACUGGGAUAACUUCGGGAAACCGGAGCUAAUACCGGAUAAUAUAUUGAACCGCAUGGUUCAAUAGUGAAAGACGGUUUUGCUGUCACUUAUAGAUGGAUCCGCGCCGCAUUAGCUAGUUGGUAAGGUAACGGCUUACCAAGGCAACGAUGCGUAGCCGACCUGAGAGGGUGAUCGGCCACACUGGAGGUGAGACAGGGUCCAGACUCCUGAGGGAGGGAGCAGUAGGGAAUCUUCCGCAAUGGGCGAAAGCCUGACGGAGCAACGCCGCGUGAGUGAUGAAGGUCUUCGGAUCGUAAAACUCUGUUAUUAGGGAAGAACAAAUGUGUAAGUAACUAUGCACGUCUUGACGGUAACUGAUCAGAAAGCCCCGGCUAACUACGUG
Molecule: ribosomal RNA, 497 nt
Filed under: uncultured bacterium
Lineage: Bacteria
Description: partial 16S ribosomal RNA
Rfam family: Bacterial small subunit ribosomal RNA
Source: RNAcentral